GAACGGCAGACACAAGGAGCAAUCCUGGCUUCCAGUGGCGAACGGGUGAGUAAUACAUCGGAACGUGCCCAAUCGUGGGGGAUAACGCAGCCAAAGCUGUGCUAAUACCGCAUACGAUCUACGGAUGAAAGCAGGGGAUCGCAAGACCUUGCGCGAAUGGAGCGGCCGAUGGCAGAUUAAGUAGUUGGUGAGGUAAAGGCUCACCAAGCCUUCGAUCUGUAGCUGGUCUGAGAGGACGACCAGCCACACUGGGACUGAGACACGGCCCAGACUCCUACGGGAGGCAGCAGUGGGGAAUUUUGGACAAUGGGCGAAAGCCUGAUCCAGCCAUGCCGCGUGCAGGAUGAAGGCCUUCGGGUUGUAAACUGCUUUUGUACGGAACGAAACGGCUCUUUCUAAUAAAGAGGGCUAAUGACGGUACCGUAAGAAUAAGCACCGGCUAACUACGUGCCAGCAACCGCGGUAAUACGUAGGGGUGCAAGCGUUAAUCGGAAUUACUGGGCGUAAAGCGUGCGCAGGCGGGUAAUGUAAGACAGUUGUGAAACCCCGGCGCUCCACCCUGGGGAACUGCAUCUGUGGAAUGCUUUGCUGGGAGUACGGGUAGAAGGGGGAAGGGAAUUUCCUCGUGGUACCAAUGGAAAUGCCGUUAAAUAUGCGGAGGAAAAACCGAUGGGGGAAGGGCAUC
Molecule: ribosomal RNA, 685 nt
Filed under: Variovorax paradoxus
Lineage: Bacteria; Pseudomonadati; Pseudomonadota; Betaproteobacteria; Burkholderiales; Comamonadaceae
Description: bacterial SSU rRNA
Rfam family: Bacterial small subunit ribosomal RNA
Source: RNAcentral